Molecule: ribosomal RNA, 335 nt
Filed under: Ruminococcus flavefaciens
Lineage: Bacteria; Bacillati; Bacillota; Clostridia; Eubacteriales; Oscillospiraceae
Description: bacterial SSU rRNA
Rfam family: Bacterial small subunit ribosomal RNA
Source: RNAcentral
AGUAGUUUGAUCAGUGGCUCGAGGACGAACGCUGGCGGCACGCUUAACACAUGCAAGUCGAACGGAGAAAUUGGAUUUAUUCAUUUUCUUAGUGGCGGACGGGUGAGUAACACGUGAGCAACCUGCCUUUAAGAGGGGGAUAGCUUCUGGAAACGGAUGGUAAUACCCUAUAAAAUAUAUUUAAGGCAUCUUAGAUAUAUCAAAGAUUUAUCACUUAAAGAUGGGCUCGCGUCUGAUUAGGUAGUUGGUGAGGUAACGGCUCACCAAGCCGACGAUCAGUAGCCGGACUGAGAGGUUGAACGGCCACAUUGGGACUGAGACACGGCCCAGACUCC